GGAAACCUGUUCGGGACUCCUUCCUCUGCACAGGGAAGGUCUCUUCUUUCUUUUGCCUGCUAAACUUCCGCUCUUGAACCCACUCCUUUUGUGUCCCCAUCCUCGAUUUCCUUGGCGUGGGGCAACAAACCACACGUAUUACCCCAGACAACCAUGCUGCUUCAAUCUCACAGGUUGAGAGCUCAUUCCCACAAGACUGCCCCCUUAUUUCCGAUGCCAAUUGCAAGCCCCAGGUUUUACCUGUUAUGACUGAAUGACUAUAAAUUGAGGGUCCCAUGGCCCCCUCCUUGUGUUCAACUGAUUUGCUAGAUUGCCUAACAGAACUAGAGGAAACACUAACUUAUGUUUACCGGUUUAUUAUGAAGGCUAUUACAAAGGAUACAGAUGAAGAGAUACAUAGGAUAAGGUAUGUGAGAAGGACUGCAGAGAUUCUAUGCCCUUCCCAGCAGCCUCUGCAUGUUCAGCUAUCAGGAAGCUCUCUACUAAAAAUAGAAAAAUUAGUUGGGCGUGGUGGCAGGCGCCUGUAAUCCCAGCUAUUCAGCAGGCUGAGGCAGGAGAAUUGCUUGAACCUGGGAGGUGAAAGUUGGAGUGAGCCGAGAUCGCCCCACCGCACUCCAGCCUGGGCGACAAGAGCAAAACUCUGUCUCAAAAAAAAAAAAAAAAAAAAAAAAAAAGGAAGUAGUGACACGAAACACUGUCUCCACACUCCACCCUUAUAACCUCCAGCUGGCACCCUGAAUGGUCUGGCCUCUCCCUGGGGGCGGAUAGGGCAGGAGACACUAAAGUAUUAAUUAUCUUUUUUGAUCAUGGCUGUAACUGUUCUGCGCCAUCUUCAACAGGUGAGACUAAGGAGGGAAUCACAGCUAGUCAUCUCAGCCAGGCCAGUAGGGGGCGCAGUGCAGUGAUCAUUCCCUGGGGCCAAGGCUGUCUCCUUGCAGGUUCAUCUCAGCUCUGCAGCAAUGCCUACUUCUUUCCAUCCGCUCCGAGGCUGUUACUAAGUAUGUGGAGCUCCUUUUCAACAACUCGCUUACUACAAAGUCCUGCUCAUUAAAAGGCGAAGGUGGUAGUGGUAGAGGACUAGAUGGGCUAAGUAUUUGCUCAACUGCUCUAUCUUGCUUUGUAACUACCAAACCAUUUCUGGGUGAGAUCAUGGGGACACCAGAUUCUUCACAUCCUUUCCUCAUUUGCUCAAGACGAGAUAAUCACAAACAGAACUUUAAGAAACCACCUGUAUAAACAUACUUGGCGUAUCUUCUGGGAAUGGAAUUAUUGAAUAGUAACCGAUUGUCAGCCUGAACAGGGUGACUUGUUGCCCUCCAGUGGUAAAUUCAAUCAGUGUUUGUACCGUCAACGUCCCCGCUCAAUCACCGUUAAACACUUAGGCAACCAAGUGUCAGCCACAAAGUUAAAAAACAGUCCUUGUUUUCAUGGAGCUUGCCAAAUAAAUAUAAGCAAAUGGUAUAAAAUCCCUUCCCUAGGGAGCAUGCUAGACACACCCGCAGGUACAGACACAGAUGGGGCAUGAUGACUUCUCCACGUGUAUGCAGUGGAGUUCUUUUAGGGAGAUUUCAGAGUGGAUGAUGUACUUUUAUACUACAACAUUUAGAAUAAUCUCUCUAAGUACAAUUCCAGAAUAUUAAAAGUAUUAUAAAAUUUGGGAAUAGACAACAGAGUCAAGUACACAAAAAGCCUAUUAUAUAUUUAAGGACUAUGUUUAGAAAAAAGGGUCCUUUUACUGGAAAGAUAGGAAAAUAGGUUUUUCUUCUUAACUUUGAUGUAUCCAGAAAAUCUGGGAGGGAGGCUCAAGGGUGGUGAGUCACUGUGAGACGUAAUGUUUAAUUUAAUCCAG
RNAcentral lists this long non-coding RNA (1849 nucleotides) under Homo sapiens (human). RNAcentral's name for it is "HSALNT0403866". Lineage: Eukaryota; Metazoa; Chordata; Mammalia; Primates; Hominidae. The record is from RNAcentral.